Molecule: long non-coding RNA, 140 nt
Organism: Homo sapiens (human)
Lineage: Eukaryota; Metazoa; Chordata; Mammalia; Primates; Hominidae
Exons: 3
Source: RefSeq, a predicted model, not a curated record
CUCCCAAGUAGCUGGGAUUACAGGAGCCUGCCACCAUGCCCAGAGUAACCACAAGCUACAUGUGACUACUGAGCACUUGGAAGAGGACUAGUGGAACUGAGGCUGGAGUCCAGUGAUACGAUCUCGGCUCACUGCAAUCU